RNAcentral lists this non-coding RNA (25 nucleotides) under Cricetulus griseus (Chinese hamster). Lineage: Eukaryota; Metazoa; Chordata; Mammalia; Rodentia; Cricetidae. The record is from RNAcentral.
UUGAACAGAGCACACAUAUCAGAAG